RNAcentral lists this ribosomal RNA (392 nucleotides) under uncultured bacterium. RNAcentral's name for it is "partial 16S ribosomal RNA". It matches the Rfam family "Bacterial small subunit ribosomal RNA", at positions 523 to 918 of the family's 1533-position model. The record is from RNAcentral.
AUACGGAGGAUGCGAGCGUUAUCCGGAUUUAUUGGGUUUAAAGGGAGCGUAGGCGGGAGCUUAAGUCAGCGGUUAAAUGGUGCGGCUCAACCGUGCCCUGCCGUUGAAACUGGGUUUCUUGAGAGUGCAAGAGGCGGCUGGAAUUCAUGGUGUAGCGGUGAAAUGCUUAGAUAUCAUGAAGAACUCCGGUUGCGAAGGCAGUCCGCUGGGGCACGUCUGACGCUGAUGCUCGAAGGUGCGGGAAUCAAACAGGAUUAGAUACCCUGGUAGUCCGCACGGUAAACGAUGAUUACCCGCUGUCGGCGGCAGACAGUCGGCGGCCAAGCGAAAGCGAUAAGUAAUCCACCUGGGGAGUACGCCGGCAACGGUGAAACUCAAAUGAAUGGACGGGG